GGAGACAUGGGGAAAUGUUGGUCAAAGGCAUAAACUUUCAGUCGUAAGAUGAAUAAGUCCUGGGCUCUAAUAUACAGCAUGGUAACUACAGGUAAUAAUACUGUGUUGUAGACUUGAAAUUUGCUAAAAGAGAAGAUCUUAAGUGUUCUUGCCACCAGACACACACACACACCCAAAAAGAUUACUGCAGGUUUCACAUCAGAAACCGUGGACCACAGAAGGGAAUGGAAGACUGUUGUUAAACUGUUGAAAGAAUUACUCAUCAUGGAACCCCACAUGGAUCCAGCAAAAAUAUCCUUCAGAAAUGAGACAGAAGGGAGAUGAUAUGAAAAGGAAACUUGGAACAUCAGGAAUAAAG
This is a non-coding RNA of Microcebus murinus (gray mouse lemur), 358 nucleotides long. NCBI's taxonomy places the organism in Eukaryota, Metazoa, Chordata, Mammalia, Primates, Cheirogaleidae. The record is from RefSeq and is a predicted model, not a curated record.